UAAGCCUGUGAAGGUGUGUCGUGAGGCAUGCUGGAGGUAUCAGAAGUGCGAAUGCUGACAUAAGUAACGAUAAAGCGGGUGAAAAGCCCGCUCGCCGGAAGACCAAGGGUUCCUGUCCAACGUUAAUCGGGGCAGGGUGAGUCGACCCCUAAGGCGAGGCCGAAAGGCGUAGUCGAUGGGAAACGGGUUAAUAUUCCCGUACUUGGUGUUACUGCGAAGGGGGGACGGAGAAGGCUAUGUUGGCCGGGCGACGGUUGUCCCGGUUUAAGCGUGUAGGUGUGUGUUCCAGGUAAAUCCGGUUCACUUUAACACUGAGGCGUGACGACGAGGCACUACGGUGCUGAAGCAACAAAUGCCCUGCUUCCAGGAAAAGCCUCUAAGCAUCAGGUAACAUCAAAUCGUACCCCAAACCGACACAGGUGGUCAGGUAGAGAAUACCAAGGCGCUUGAGAGAACUCGGGUGAAGGAACUAGGCAAAAUGGUGCCGUAACUUCGGGAGAAGGCACGCUGACACGUAGGUGAAGUGAUUUACUCAUGGAGCUGAAGUCAGUCGAAGAUACCAGCUGGCUGCAACUGUUUAUUAAAAACACAGCACUGUGCAAACACGAAAGUGGACGUAUACGGUGUGACGCCUGCCCGGUGCCGGAAGGUUAAUUGAUGGGGUCAGCGCAAGCGAAGCUCCUGAUCGAAGCCCCGGUAAACGGCGGCCGUAACUAUAACGGUCCUAAGGUAGCGAAAUUCCUUGUCGGGUAAGUUCCGACCUGCACGAAUGGCGUAAUGAUGGCCAGGCUGUCUCCACCCGAGACUCAGUGAAAUUGAACUCGCUGUGAAGAUGCAGUGUACCCGCGGCAAGACGGAAAGACCCCGUGAACCUUUACUAUAGCUUGACACUGAACAUUGAGCCUUGAUGUGUAGGAUAGGUGGGAGGCUUUGAAGUGUGGACGCCAGUCUGCAUGGAGCCGACCUUGAAAUACCACCCUUUAAUGUUUGAUGUUCUAACGUGGACCCGUGAUCCGGGUUGCGGACAGUGUCUGGUGGGUAGUUUGACUGGGGCGGUCUCCUCCUAAAGAGUAACGGAGGAGCACGAAGGUUGGCUAAUCCUGGUCGGACAUCAGGAGGUUAGUGCAAUGGCAUAAGCCAGCUUGACUGCGAGCGUGACGGCGCGAGCAGGUGCGAAAGCAGGUCAUAGUGAUCCGGUGGUUCUGAAUGGAAGGGCCAUCGCUCAACGGAUAAAAGGUACUCCGGGGAUAACAGGCUGAUACCGCCCAAGAGUUCAUAUCGACGGCGGUGUUUGGCACCUCGAUGUCGGCUCAUCACAUCCUGGGGCUGAAGUAGGUCCCAAGGGUAUGGCUGUUCGCCAUUUAAAGUGGUACGCGAGCUGGGUUUAGAACGUCGUGAGACAGUUCGGUCCCUAUCUGCCGUGGGCGCUGGAGAACUGAGGGGGGCUGCUCCUAGUACGAGAGGACCGGAGUGGACGCAUCACUGGUGUUCGGGUUGUCAUGCCAAUGGCACUGCCCGGUAGCUAAAUGCGGAAGAGAUAAGUGCUGAAAGCAUCUAAGCACGAAACUUGCCCCGAG
RNAcentral lists this ribosomal RNA (1577 nucleotides) under Salmonella enterica subsp. enterica serovar Heidelberg. RNAcentral describes it as "partial 23S ribosomal RNA". It matches the Rfam family "Bacterial large subunit ribosomal RNA", at positions 1243 to 2803 of the family's 2925-position model. RNAcentral also lists the same sequence under 3 other names. The record is from RNAcentral. Lineage: Bacteria; Pseudomonadati; Pseudomonadota; Gammaproteobacteria; Enterobacterales; Enterobacteriaceae.